UACGUAGGGUGCAAGCGUUAAUCGGAAUUACUGGGCGUAAAGGGCUCGUAGGUGGCCAACUAAGUCAGACGUGAAAUCCCCAGGCUCAACUUGGGAACUGCGUCUGAUACUGGAUGGCUUGAAUUCGGGAGAGGGAUGCAGAAUUCCAGGUGUAGCGGUGAAAUGCGUAGAUAUCUGGAGGAACACCGGUGGCGAAGGCGGCAUCCUGGACCAACACUGACACUGAGGAGCGAAAGCCAGGGGAGCAAACGGG
Molecule: ribosomal RNA, 253 nt
Filed under: uncultured bacterium
Lineage: Bacteria
Description: partial 16S ribosomal RNA
Rfam family: Bacterial small subunit ribosomal RNA
Source: RNAcentral